AUACGGAGGGUGCGAGCGUUAAUCGGAAUUACUGGGCGUAAAGCGCGCGUAGGCGGCUUAUUAAGUCAGAUGUGAAAUCCCCGGGCUCAACCUGGGAACUGCAUCUGAUACUGGUAAGCUAGAGUUUUGGAGAGGGAAGUAGAAUUUCAGGUGUAGCGGUGAAAUGCAUAGAGAUCUGAAGGAAUACCAGUGGCGAAGGCGACUUCCUGGCCAAAAACUGACGCUGAGGUGCGAAAGCGUGGGUAGCAAACGGGAUUAGAAACCCCAGAGUCC
This 273-nucleotide ribosomal RNA is filed under the name uncultured bacterium. RNAcentral's name for it is "partial 16S ribosomal RNA". It matches the Rfam family "Bacterial small subunit ribosomal RNA", at positions 523 to 796 of the family's 1533-position model. The record is from RNAcentral.